Long non-coding RNA from Trichosurus vulpecula (common brushtail), 158 nucleotides. RefSeq lists it as uncharacterized. NCBI's taxonomy places the organism in Eukaryota, Metazoa, Chordata, Mammalia, Diprotodontia, Phalangeridae. The transcript has 3 exons. The record is from RefSeq and is a predicted model, not a curated record.
GGAGCAGGCUCCAAGAAGAACAAGAAUUUCACAUUUCUUCAUGUAUCUGUCAUCUUGAGGACUCCAUCUUUCUCCACCAAAACACAGAGUGAGAAAGCUGAAUUCCAAAGAGGGGAGGGCACUUAAUCCAACUCACUCAAAGAGUGAGAACACUGGGG